RNAcentral lists this ribosomal RNA (503 nucleotides) under uncultured bacterium. RNAcentral's name for it is "partial 16S ribosomal RNA". It matches the Rfam family "Bacterial small subunit ribosomal RNA", at positions 28 to 523 of the family's 1533-position model. The record is from RNAcentral.
GAUGAGCGCUAGCGGCAGGCCUAAUACAUGCAAGUCGAACGGGAUCUGAGGGUAGCUUGCUACCCGAUUUGAGAGUGGCGCACGGGUGCGUAACGCGUGAGCAACCUACCCAUAUCAGGGGGAUAGCCCGAAGAAAUUCGGAUUAACACCGCAUAAUAAUACGCUAACACAUGUUGAUGUAUUUAAAUAUUUAUAGGAUAUGGAUGGGCUCGCGUGACAUUAGCUAGUUGGUAAGGUAACGGCUUACCAAGGCGACGAUGUCUAGGGGCUCUGAGAGGAGAAUCCCCACACUGGUACUGAGACACGGACCAGACUCCUACGGGAGGCAGCAGUAAGGAAUAUUGGUCAAUGGGCGCAAGCCUGAACCAGCCAUGCCGCGUGCAGGAUGACUGCCCUAUGGGUUGUAAACUGCUUUUGUUAGGGAAUAAACCUUCUUACGUGUAAGGAGCUGAAUGUACCUAAAGAAUAAGGAUCGGCUAACUCCGUGCCAGCCGCCGCCGUAA